This 744-nucleotide long non-coding RNA is filed under the name Selaginella moellendorffii. RNAcentral's name for it is "long non-coding RNA (SMOE_LNC000094)". Lineage: Eukaryota; Viridiplantae; Streptophyta; Lycopodiopsida; Selaginellales; Selaginellaceae. The record is from RNAcentral.
GUUAGUUCCUAUCAAGUCCUUUUUCUGUCCAUGGCCAUGUUUGCCAACACUACCACUAGAUCAAGGCCCGUAGGCCCGGCCACUAAGUCCCAUUGUCCUCUGGGACUUCUUCACCAUGUGACCGUAUCCUUAGUCAAGGUAUGAUUUGUAGUUUUUGUUCAUAAUCAUGUUUGGCAAUAACAGGAAACAACAACAAUCUUGAAAAACAUAGUUUAGGCCAGUUAAGGAAGAAGUCUGGCAUAUAAUUUGUAGAACAACUUGCAAAAGCACUACAUGACAAAAAUGUGAGCUUUAUUAAUACAAUGGAAGAAAGCUAGAAGGAAAUUUAUUGUCAAAAUCUGAAGAAGGAAGAAUUCAUGAAGCAUACUCUAAUUAUGGAUAGCCAAAUGGUGAAGAGUGUGGAUCAAGUAGCUCAAGCUUUGUUUGCAAUUGUUGAUUUUUUGGUAAAUUAAUUCAUUUUCUUAUUCAUGAACUUCACUUUUGUAAUUUACAGCGUCGCUGAUUACUAUCUCUGAAGCAAUGAAAAAGAUGAUGAACUAAUGAAGAUGUGAUGAUUUACUAGAAAAUAAAUUAGUUUUAGGAAUAGAUGAUUGAGGACACCAUCAAUUGGUAGAUUGUGUUCAAUCAACUUGUGGUUUGGACUCAAAGCCUUCUCAUUUGGCAUCUGGUCUUCAAUCAACUCAUCACUCAGAUCAUCAAUUGGGCUUGUUUUUGCACAAAAGAAAAAAAAAAAACAAAAACAAA